AGCCCUCUGUAUCCGUGCUGAGAUUUCGUCGGACAUCAACCUGUUGGGGCUGAUGAUACUUCCCAAAUAAGUGAAGCG
RNAcentral lists this microRNA precursor (78 nucleotides) under Trichobilharzia regenti. RNAcentral's name for it is "mir-3492 microRNA precursor family". It matches the Rfam family "mir-3492 microRNA precursor family". Lineage: Eukaryota; Metazoa; Platyhelminthes; Trematoda; Strigeidida; Schistosomatidae. The record is from Rfam by way of RNAcentral.